Molecule: ribosomal RNA, 444 nt
Filed under: uncultured bacterium
Lineage: Bacteria
Description: bacterial SSU rRNA
Rfam family: Bacterial small subunit ribosomal RNA
Source: RNAcentral
GUAGGGAAUAUUGGGCAAUGGACGAGAGUCUGACCCAGCCAUGCCGCGUGCCGGAUGAAGGCCUUCUGGGUUGUAAACGGCUUUUCUCAGGGAAGAAAAAGGGUAUGCGUACCACACUGACGGUACCUGAGGAAUAAGCACCGGCUAACUCCGUGCCAGCAGCCGCGGUAAUACGGAGGGUGCAAGCGUUGUCCGGAUUUAUUGGGUUUAAAGGGUGCGUAGGUGGUUUGAUAAGUCCGGGGUGAAAGCCCGUCGCUCAACGACGGAACUGCCCUGGAUACUGUCAGACUUGAGGGUAGACGAGGUUGGCGGAAUAGAAGGUGUAGCGGUGAAAUGCAUAGAUACCUUCUAGAACCCCGAUUGCGUAGGCAGCUGACUAGGCUACACCUGACACUGAGGCACGAAAGCGUGGGGAGCGAACAGGAUUAGAUACCCCAGUAGUCC